Molecule: ribosomal RNA, 483 nt
Filed under: Streptococcus sp. oral taxon 064
Lineage: Bacteria; Bacillati; Bacillota; Bacilli; Lactobacillales; Streptococcaceae
Description: bacterial SSU rRNA
Rfam family: Bacterial small subunit ribosomal RNA
Source: RNAcentral
GACGAACGCUGGCGGCGUGCCUAAUACAUGCAAGUAGAACGCUGAAGAGAGGAGCUUGCUCUUCUUGGAUGAGUUGCGAACGGGUGAGUAACGCGUAGGUAACCUGCCUGGUAGCGGGGGAUAACUAUUGGAGACGAUAGCUAAUACCGCAUAAUAGUAGAUGUUGCAUGACAUUUGCUUAAAAGGUGCAAUUGCAUCACUACCAGAUGGACCUGCGUUGUAUUAGCUAGUUGGUGAGGUAACGGCUCACCAAGGCAAUGAUACAUAGCCGACCUGAGAGGGAGAUCGGCCACACUGGGACUGAGACACGGCCCAGACUCCUACGGGAGGCAGCAGUAGGGAAUCUUCGGCAAUGGACGGAAGUCUGACCGAGCAACGCCGCGUGAGUGAAGAAGGUUUUCGGAUCGUAAAGCUCUGUUGUAAGAGAAGAACGAGUGUGAGAGUGGAAAGUUCACACUGUGACGGUAUCUUACCAAAAGGCGG